Notolabrus celidotus (New Zealand spotty) is the source of this 459-nucleotide long non-coding RNA. RefSeq lists it as uncharacterized. The transcript is spliced from 2 exons. The record is from RefSeq and is a predicted model, not a curated record. Lineage: Eukaryota; Metazoa; Chordata; Actinopteri; Labriformes; Labridae.
AGAAGAGGGAGGCUGCCUUUGACAGGAAUGGCAUCACCCUUCAACCCCCCCUUUACAACUGAAAGGGAUUAAAGGAUGUCUAGACUUUUUGUGGUCUUGCUGAUCUGUCCUUUAGGAACUGAUGUUUGCUGGGAAAAAUCCUCCUGUCAGACACUGGGAGGCAGUCGCUCUGUCUGUGGGGACUUGUGAUGGAAGCCAGAGGGUCACUGGUUCAACUCCUGUGGAAAGGUGCCAGUUGACUUGGGCCCUGCCGAGGUUCAACAAACCCUGUGUGCAAGCUCCUCACUCUGCAUCUCAUUACAUCCUGUUUGAGAAUGUUUGAGUGUAUUUCAGCCUUAAACAUAGAUACUUGUAUCUCUCCAGUGUGAUGUCAAUUUAUAAAACAGUGUUUUGUCAUCCAGUGUGUUACAAAAGGAUUAACUCUGGAUCCACCGAAUCAAUAAAGGACAUCUAAACUCA